GAUGAACGCUGGCGGCGUGCUUAACACAUGCAAGUCGAACGAUGAAGCCCAGCUUGCUGGGUGGAUUCGUGGCGAACGGGUGAGUAACACGUGAGUAACCUGCCCUUAACUCUGGGAUAAGCCUGGGAAACUGGGUCUAAUACCGGAUAGGAGCGUCCACCGCAUGGUGGGUGUUGGAAAGAUUUAUCGGUUUUGGAUGGACUCGCGGCCUAUCAGCUUGUUGGUGAGGUAAUGGCUCACCAAGGCGACGACGGGUAGCCGGCCUGAGAGGGUGACCGGCCACACUGGGACUGAGACACGGCCCAGACUCCUACGGGAGGCAGCAGUGGGGAAUAUUGCACAAUGGGCGCAAGCCUGAUGCAGCGCCGCCGCGUGAGGGAUGACGGCCUUCGGGUUGUAAACCUCUUUCAGUAGGGAAGAAGCGAAAGUGACGGUACCUGCAGAAGAAGCACCGGCUAACUACGUG
RNAcentral lists this ribosomal RNA (466 nucleotides) under uncultured bacterium. RNAcentral's name for it is "partial 16S ribosomal RNA". It matches the Rfam family "Bacterial small subunit ribosomal RNA", at positions 28 to 507 of the family's 1533-position model. The record is from RNAcentral.